GGUGGGCAAGGCCUUGCUCAGUAAAGCUUUAAUCCAGUCAUCUGCUGAUGGGUAGGGUGGUACUCCCUCCCUAUUGUUUGGCCUGAGGCAACCCAGCCCUGGGGUCUACAGGUUCUAUAGUAGGGUUAAAGGCAACCUCCAAGAGGGCUUAUGCCAAAAGGGGCCUUCCAGGACUGCUGCUGCCAGUGCCACUGUCCCUAUGUUUGUGGGCCACCCACCCAGUGGGUAAGGGGUUUGAUUUUAUUGUGAUUGUGCCCCUCCUACCAUCUCGCUGCAGCUUCCUCCCUGUCUUUGGAUGUGGGAUAUCUUUUUUUGGCCUUGUGAGAGAAGGGCUAUUUCCUGUCUGGUUCGACGAUUAAUCUUCAAGGUAAACAAGGAUUCUAAACUAAGAAGUCUGGCUCCAAAAUCUGCGCUUUCGGCCACUACAUUAUGCUGUUAUUUGGUGAAGAAAGUAGAGGGUGGGCUUCUGUGUAUUCAGGCAAACAAGCGGACAAAAAGAGAAACCACUAACAGAAACGAGCUGAAGAAAAACAUCCGGAUCCAGGAGCUCAGCGCCCGCUCGUGACCUUUCUCUCCGGAAGCGCUUGCGGCCCUCUAGCGCGAGUACGCACGCGCGGCGCCGGGGUCGCUUUGGGUCGCGCGCGAAA
This is a long non-coding RNA of Bos taurus (domestic cattle), 647 nucleotides long. The record is from Ensembl. NCBI's taxonomy places the organism in Eukaryota, Metazoa, Chordata, Mammalia, Artiodactyla, Bovidae.